GGGGUUGUGGCUCAGUGGUAGAGCGCUUGCCUCGCAUGCGUGAGGCACUGGGUUCAAUCCCUGGCACCA
RNAcentral lists this transfer RNA (69 nucleotides) under Ictidomys tridecemlineatus (thirteen-lined ground squirrel). Its description in RNAcentral is "Spermophilus tridecemlineatus (thirteen-lined ground squirrel) tRNA". It matches the Rfam family "tRNA". From Rfam's summary of the family: Transfer RNA (tRNA) molecules are approximately 80 nucleotides in length. Their secondary structure includes four short double-helical elements and three loops (D, anti-codon, and T loops). The record is from Rfam by way of RNAcentral. Lineage: Eukaryota; Metazoa; Chordata; Mammalia; Rodentia; Sciuridae.